GAGGUUGUGGCUCAGUGGUAGAGCGCUUGCCUCACAUGUGCAAGACCCUGGGUUCGAUCCUCAGUACCACA
This 71-nucleotide transfer RNA is filed under the name Ictidomys tridecemlineatus (thirteen-lined ground squirrel). RNAcentral's name for it is "Spermophilus tridecemlineatus (thirteen-lined ground squirrel) tRNA". It matches the Rfam family "tRNA". From Rfam's summary of the family: Transfer RNA (tRNA) molecules are approximately 80 nucleotides in length. Their secondary structure includes four short double-helical elements and three loops (D, anti-codon, and T loops). The record is from Rfam by way of RNAcentral. Lineage: Eukaryota; Metazoa; Chordata; Mammalia; Rodentia; Sciuridae.